GACGAACGCUGGCGGCGUGCUUAACACAUGCAAGUCGAACGGAAAGGCCUGCUUUCCCUUGUGGAUUGCGGGUACUCGAGUGGCGAACGGGUGAGUAACACGUGAGUGAUCUGCCCCCAACUUGGGUAUAAGCCUGGGAAACUGGGUCUAAUUCCCGAUAGGACUGCAGGGUGGUGCCUGUGGUGGAAAACGAUUUUCUAGUGGUUGGGGAUGAGCUCGCGGCCUAUCAGCUUGUUGGUGGGGUAAUGGCCUACCAAGGCGGCGACGGGUAGCCGGCCUGCGAGGGUGGACGGCCACAUUGGGACUGAGAUACGGCCCAGACUCCUACGGGAGGCAGCAGUGGGGAAUAUUGCACAAUGGGCGGAAGCCUGAUGCAGCGACGCCGCGUGGGGGAUGACGGCCUUCGGGUUGUAAACUCCUUUCGACCGCGAGGAAGCCACCUGGUUGGAAGGGUGGUGACGGUAGUGGUAGAAGAAGCACCGGCUAACUACGUG
This 494-nucleotide ribosomal RNA is filed under the name uncultured bacterium. RNAcentral's name for it is "partial 16S ribosomal RNA". It matches the Rfam family "Bacterial small subunit ribosomal RNA", at positions 28 to 507 of the family's 1533-position model. The record is from RNAcentral.